This 450-nucleotide ribosomal RNA is filed under the name uncultured bacterium. RNAcentral describes it as "partial 16S ribosomal RNA". It matches the Rfam family "Bacterial small subunit ribosomal RNA", at positions 354 to 796 of the family's 1533-position model. The record is from RNAcentral.
GUGGGGAAUCUUCCACAAUGGACGAAAGUCUGAUGGAGCAACGCCGCGUGAGUGAAGAAGGUUUUCGAAUCGUAAAGCUCUGUUGUCGGGGACGAAUGUUGAGACCGAGAAUAUUUGUUUCAAAUGACGGUACCUGACGAGGAAGCCACGGCUAACUACGUGCCAGCAGCCGCGGUAAUACGUAGGUGGCGAGCGUUGUCCGGAAUUAUUGGGCGUAAAGGGAGCGCAGGUGGGAAAGUAAGUCUGUCUUAAAAGUGCGGGGCUCAACCCCGUGAUGGGGUAGAAACUAUUUUUCUUGAGUGCAGGAGAGGGAAGCGGAAUUCCUAGUGUAGCGGUGAAAUGCGUAGAUAUUAGGAGGAACACCAGUGGCGAAGGCGCCUUUCUGGACUGUGUCUGACGCUGAGAUGCGAAAGCCAGGGUAGCGAACGGGAUUAGAAACCCCUGUAGUCC